Molecule: transfer RNA, 73 nt
Filed under: Bos taurus (domestic cattle)
Lineage: Eukaryota; Metazoa; Chordata; Mammalia; Artiodactyla; Bovidae
Also listed under: 4 other names
Rfam family: tRNA
About the family: Transfer RNA (tRNA) molecules are approximately 80 nucleotides in length. Their secondary structure includes four short double-helical elements and three loops (D, anti-codon, and T loops). Further hydrogen bonds mediate the characteristic L-shaped molecular structure. tRNAs have two regions of fundamental functional importance: the anti-codon, which is responsible for specific mRNA codon recognition, and the 3' end, to which the tRNAs corresponding amino acid is attached (by aminoacyl-tRNA synthetases). tRNAs cope with the degeneracy of the genetic code in two manners: having more than one tRNA (with a specific anti-codon) for a particular amino acid; and 'wobble' base-pairing, i.e. permitting non-standard base-pairing at the 3rd anti-codon position.
Source: Rfam by way of RNAcentral
UCCCUGGUGAUCCAGUGGCUAAGACUUCACACUCCCAAUGCAGGGGGCCCAGGUUUGAUUCCUGGUCAGGGAA